AACCUAGCACACCUGCGGUGUGUACCUGCGGAAGGAUCAUUACCGAGUUUACAACUCCCAAACCCCUGUGAACAUACCUAUACGUUGCCUCGGCGGAUCAGCCCGCGCCCUGUAAAAAGGGACGGCCCGCCCGAGGACCCUAAACUCUGUUUUUAGUGGAACUUCUGAGUAAAACAAACAAAUAAAUCAAAACUUUCAACAAUGGAUCU
Molecule: unclassified non-coding RNA, 209 nt
Filed under: soil metagenome
Description: partial contains 5.8S ribosomal RNA, internal transcribed spacer 2, and large subunit ribosomal RNA
Source: RNAcentral